GGGCCUGUAGCUCAAUCGGUAGAGCAAUCAACUCAUAAUUGAUAGGUAGUAGGUUCAAAUCUUACCAGGCCCA
RNAcentral lists this transfer RNA (73 nucleotides) under Thiotrichaceae bacterium. RNAcentral describes it as "tRNA-Met". It matches the Rfam family "tRNA". From Rfam's summary of the family: Transfer RNA (tRNA) molecules are approximately 80 nucleotides in length. Their secondary structure includes four short double-helical elements and three loops (D, anti-codon, and T loops). The record is from RNAcentral. Lineage: Bacteria; Pseudomonadati; Pseudomonadota; Gammaproteobacteria; Thiotrichales; Thiotrichaceae.